GCUUACACAUGCAGGUCGAACGGUAAGGCCCUUCGGGGUACACGAGUGGCGAACGGGUGAGUAACACGUGGGUGAUCUGCCCUGCACUCUGGGAUAAGCCUGGGAAACUGGGUCUAAUACCGGAUAGGAGCUCCUGUCGCAUGGCGGGGGUUGGAAAGGUUUACUGGUGCAGGAUGGGCCCGCGGCCUAUCAGCUUGUUGGUGGGGUAAUGGCCUACCAAGGCGACGACGGGUAGCCGGCCUGAGAGGGCGACCGGCCACACUGGGACUGAGACACGGCCCAGACUCCUACGGGAGGCAGCAGUGGGGAAUAUUGCACAAUGGGCGAAAGCCUGAUGCAGCGACGCCGCGUGAGGGAUGACGGCCUUCGGGUUGUAAACCUCUUUCAGCAGGGACGAAGCGAGAGUGACGGUACCUGCAGAAGAAGCACCGGCCAACUACGUGCCAGCAGCCGCGGUAAUACGUAGGGUGCGAGCGUUGUCCGGAAUUACUGGGCGUAAAGAGCUCGUAGGCGGUUUGUCGCGUCGUCCGUGAAAACUUGGGGCUCAACCCCAAGCUUGCGGGCGAUACGGGCAGACUUGAGUACUGCAGGGGAGACUGGAAUUCCUGGUGUAGCGGUGAAAUGCGCAGAUAUCAGGAGGAACACCGGUGGCGAAGGCGGGUCUCUGGGCAGUAACUGACGCUGAGGAGCGAAAGCGUGG
This 700-nucleotide ribosomal RNA is filed under the name Rhodococcus sp. (in: high G+C Gram-positive bacteria). RNAcentral describes it as "bacterial SSU rRNA". It matches the Rfam family "Bacterial small subunit ribosomal RNA", at positions 46 to 764 of the family's 1533-position model. The record is from RNAcentral. Lineage: Bacteria; Bacillati; Actinomycetota; Actinomycetes; Mycobacteriales; Nocardiaceae.